RNAcentral lists this ribosomal RNA (841 nucleotides) under Pseudopestalotiopsis theae. RNAcentral's name for it is "eukaryotic LSU rRNA". It matches the Rfam family "Eukaryotic large subunit ribosomal RNA", at positions 62 to 928 of the family's 3401-position model. Lineage: Eukaryota; Fungi; Ascomycota; Sordariomycetes; Amphisphaeriales; Sporocadaceae. RNAcentral also lists the same sequence under 1 other name. The record is from RNAcentral.
AAACCAACAGGGAUUGCCUUAGUAACGGCGAGUGAAGCGGCAACAGCUCAAAUUUGAAAUCUGGCCCUUGGGUCCGAAUUGUAAUUUGUAGAGGAUGAUUUUGGUGCGGUAUCUUCCGAGUUCCUUGGAACAGGACGCCUUAGAGGGUGAGAGCCCCGUACGGUUGAAUGCCUAGCCUCUGUAAAUCUCCUUCGACGAGUCGAGUAGUUUGGGAAUGCUGCUCUAAAUGGGAGGUAAAUUUCUUCUAAAGCUAAAUAUUGGCCAGAGACCGAUAGCGCACAAGUAGAGUGAUCGAAAGAUGAAAAGCACUUUGAAAAGAGGGUUAAAUAGCACGUGAAAUUGUUGAAAGGGAAGGAUUUGUGACCAGACUUUUUCUGGGCGGAUCAUCCGGGGUUCUCUCCGGUGCACUUUGCCCAGUAAAGGCCAGCAUCGGUUUUCGGCGGGGGAUAAAAGCAGUAGGAAUGUGGCUCUCUUCGGGGAGUGUUAUAGCCUAUUGUAUAAUACCCUGCUGGGGACCGAGGUACGCGCUUCUGCAAGGAUGCUGGCGUAAUGGUUAUCAAUCACCCGUCUUGAAACACGGACCAAGGAGUCGAACAUUUGUGCGAGUGUUUGGGUGUUAAACCCUCACGCGUAAUGAAAGUGAACGGAGGUGAGAGCCCUUACGGGUGCAUCAUCGACCGAUCCUGAAGUUUUCGGAUGGAUUUGAGUAAGAGCAUAACUGUUCGGACCCGAAAGAUGGUGAACUAUGCGUGGAUAGGGUGAAGCCAGAGGAAACUCUGGUGGAGGCUCGCAGCGGUUCUGACGUGCAAAUCGAUCGUCAAAUCUGCGCAUGGGGGCGAAA